This 156-nucleotide small nucleolar RNA is filed under the name Nestor notabilis (Kea). RNAcentral describes it as "Small nucleolar RNA U3". It matches the Rfam family "Small nucleolar RNA U3", at positions 1 to 160 of the family's 219-position model. From Rfam's summary of the family: Small nucleolar RNAs (snoRNAs) are involved in the processing and modification of rRNA in the nucleolus. There are two main classes of snoRNAs: the box C/D class, and the box H/ACA class. The record is from Rfam by way of RNAcentral. Lineage: Eukaryota; Metazoa; Chordata; Aves; Psittaciformes; Psittacidae.
AAGACUAUACUUUCAGGGAUCAUUUCUGUAGUUGGUCACUAGAGGAGAGUGAUCGCACCUGAACGGCGUCACAAACCACGAGGAGGAGCGAGGUGCUGUCUCCUGAGCGCGAGGCGGGCGGGCGGCGCUGCUUGUGCAGGGGCUUCCCGCCCUCGA